CUGAGCUGGUGAUGAUGUUAAGUUAUCCCUGUCUGAAAAAAAAAACAAAAAACAAAAAAACUUCCUUUGUGGAAUUCUCACUCUCUGAGGCUCAG
Molecule: small nucleolar RNA, 95 nt
Organism: Dermochelys coriacea (leatherback sea turtle)
Lineage: Eukaryota; Metazoa; Chordata; Testudines; Dermochelyidae
Product: small nucleolar RNA R38
Exons: 1
Source: RefSeq, a predicted model, not a curated record